CUUAUUUAGAGAGGUGGAGGGACUGGCCCUUUGAAACCCGGCAACCAGCAUAUCAAAUAUGCAAUGGUGCUAAAUCCUGCAGCAUAAAGCUGAUAGAUAAG
RNAcentral lists this non-coding RNA (101 nucleotides) under uncultured Romboutsia sp. RNAcentral's name for it is "SAM riboswitch (S box leader)". It matches the Rfam family "SAM riboswitch aptamer (S box leader)". From Rfam's summary of the family: The SAM riboswitch is found upstream of a number of genes which code for proteins involved in methionine or cysteine biosynthesis in Gram-positive bacteria. The SAM riboswitch acts at the level of transcription termination control. Lineage: Bacteria; Bacillati; Bacillota; Clostridia; Peptostreptococcales; Peptostreptococcaceae. The record is from RNAcentral.